GAUCCAACUUGAAUGCUUCCUGAUUAAAUAUAUACAGGAGUGAUUUCAGAGGAAUUUAAGUUUUGGAUCAUUCUUUUGAGAAAGAAAGAAAAGUACCCUUUUAAAAGAGCGUACUUUCAACAUAAAGACGACGAGGAUAAAGGCAUUUAUGAUGAACUACUUCCACAUAAUGAAUAAUUGAACAAAGGAGAGAAUUGUGAGAGUGAGAAAAAGUGAGACAAAGAAGAAAAACUAUAAAUCAGCAAAAUACAGUGCCAAGAGCUCUGGACCACAAAUCAGAAGACCUGAGCCCUAAUUCCUUUCCAGUCAUUGGAUUUGUUCGUCGCUUGCCAAAACAGCAGCGAACUCUCUGUCAAACUGCAACUCAUUUUAUCGGAGCAAAAACUGAACAAAGAACUGCUAUCAUUUCUGAGGUCAGAGGCAGUGCAGCUUGUGUUACAACUCAAAAGAGUAAUACUCUGAAAAAAGAAAAAAAAAGAUGGCGCUGAAAAUAAACAUGUUCAGCAGCCAUUGUGAUUCAACUUACCCAGAUGUGCUUUUCAUGAGAUGGAGAAGGACGGAUGGAAAAGAAAAGCACACAAAUGUUAAUGGAUACAGUUCAAUCCAAAGAAAACCAUGGAAUAAAACAAGAGCAUUAUUUAAGAUGUGAGAAAGCUCAGGUAUGAGAAAGACAUGGUGCCAUUUUGUAUUUCAUCAUGACACACAUACUCACUGUGUCGAAAAGCAUAGUCAGGCUGAGGGUAGUUCUAAUAGUUGACCAAUAAGUCUAUGUCUUGAGUAUGAGCCACU
This 789-nucleotide long non-coding RNA is filed under the name Pan troglodytes (chimpanzee). RNAcentral describes it as "lincRNA". Lineage: Eukaryota; Metazoa; Chordata; Mammalia; Primates; Hominidae. The record is from RNAcentral.